UUUAGCCCUGAUUGCAAUGGAAAUCCUUUUUUGUUCCCUUCGAAUAGAAGGGAACAAAAAAGAUUGUAAUGGAAAGCAGG
Molecule: small RNA, 80 nt
Filed under: uncultured Kaistella sp.
Lineage: Bacteria; Pseudomonadati; Bacteroidota; Flavobacteriia; Flavobacteriales; Weeksellaceae
Description: Flavo-1 RNA
Rfam family: Flavo-1 RNA
Source: RNAcentral